AUUCCUACAACCAUACCACUUAGACAUACGUCACAUCAGGGGUGUGGACAAUGUGGUUGCAGACGCAUUGUCCCGCUCCUGUGAAAAUGUUUAACUGUGCUGUCCUGUCUCAUGUCCUCUGUUCCUCUUUUUCCUUCUUUCUGUUCCGUUCCUUAAAUUGCUUUCCAGGGCCCGGAUUGCUGGUGGAGCAGCAAAUUGAGGCUGCCUCCUGAGGUUAAUUGUCGUGGCCAUAAGAGGGCCGGCUCUGGCAUGAUGUCGCUCUCACUCAUUCCCCUGGCCUGCUCUGACGGGAGAGCUCGUUGGGAGCUGCCUUGACUCGCUGCCCUUCUGGGGAUCUCGCCUCCUUCUGCGUCUCCGUCAUAUUAUAUUUAGUUUAUUCAUCUACCCCUAGACACACAUUGCACAACACUUUACUUUUGUACUUAAC
Molecule: long non-coding RNA, 427 nt
Organism: Alosa sapidissima (American shad)
Lineage: Eukaryota; Metazoa; Chordata; Actinopteri; Clupeiformes; Clupeidae
Exons: 2
Source: RefSeq, a predicted model, not a curated record